GUUCACAAAACUUUAAGCAAUUUAUCUAGUAUGGCGUUACUUAAGUUUGGUUUAGUCAUCACUAUUCUUCUCACGGCAUUCACUACCGAUGUGAUAUGGUUCUCAAAGACACAAGUUAUGGCAGCAAGAAAUGUCGAUCCUAAUAAUGUAACAGGACUCAGAAGGAAAUUACUUCCACAACUUAAUGAUAUACUACCUACUUGUGGGAAAGCGUGUGGUAUCUCUAAUGGAGAAGAUUGCAGUGGUUGUUGGUUUUGUUGUAGCUGUGAACGAUCAACUUUCCCUUGGGAAUCUGAUAAUCCUUUCUUUUAUCGUUGUCAGUGACAAAAAUUGGUAAAUUAGUUCCCGAUUGAAAAGAGUCUGCUAAAGAUAUCUAUUACAUGUAUUUGUGAUUCCGUUUAAUUUCAGUAUCUGCUCUGUUUUUUCUUAUUUUCUUACACGAAUAACAAAGAAAUUCAUAUGAA
Nicotiana tabacum (common tobacco) is the source of this 464-nucleotide long non-coding RNA. RefSeq lists it as uncharacterized. Lineage: Eukaryota; Viridiplantae; Streptophyta; Magnoliopsida; Solanales; Solanaceae. The record is from RefSeq and is a predicted model, not a curated record.